CGCUGCCACUUUCCGGACGUGGCUCCAGGAGUGGGGCGAGGCCGGAUGCACAGGCAUACUGGGAGAAGGGCGAAGUCCCAUGAUGCCUCGCUUUGUCACUUCCAAUCAGACUCAAGGCAAAACGCCUCUGCUCAGAAAAAUGUGUUGUAGGGUUGUAUCCUUGCUUCCAGGAAUGCGAGAAAAGCAUUAUGGGUUAGAUAGUGAAUGUUUGGGCGUCUUUCUCUUUCACGCUACGCUUUGGGGAUUCCCAGAUCCCCCGAAUGUACCCUUUUCAAGCACGCGAUCAAAAUCUGGCCUGGUGGAGAGGCGAAGAUGGACCCUGCAUUUCAGACAGAUAAGUGGUUAAUAACAGAUCUGCGGGUGAGAAACGGUGGCAAUCUAGUAAGGUGGUAGGACACACCAGGUCCUAUAUCAAGACGAGAGUUCCAAGACGUUUCCAUCGGCUGUUGUUUUUUUAACAGAAGGCAGUCAAGGAGGUUUCUUGUAUCUUUCCUCUCCUAGAAGCAUGAAAGAUUCAUUCUGUAUGUUCAGGAAGUGUAAAGCUUCCUUAUUUUAAAAACAUUUUUUUCUUAUUACAAAAUAAAUGUUAAAAAGAAGGAACGUUUAAUAAAAUCAAGUUCUUCAGAGUAGGGACGAAGAGCAUGAGAAGAAGAUUAACAUUAAACAGGGAUGAGAGGUGGGAGGGAAAGGGAGAGAGAAGGGAAAUUGCAUGGAAAUGGAAGGAGACCCUCAGGGUUAUACAAAAGUACAUACAAGAGGAAGUGAGGGGAAAGGGAAAAAUAAUACAAGGGGGAG
Molecule: long non-coding RNA, 795 nt
Filed under: Marmota monax (woodchuck)
Lineage: Eukaryota; Metazoa; Chordata; Mammalia; Rodentia; Sciuridae
Source: RNAcentral